RNA transcript from Dioscorea cayenensis subsp. rotundata (Guinea yam), 3966 nucleotides. It is a transcript of the gene named disease resistance protein RGA2-like, with no coding region annotated. The record is from RefSeq and is a predicted model, not a curated record. NCBI's taxonomy places the organism in Eukaryota, Viridiplantae, Streptophyta, Magnoliopsida, Dioscoreales, Dioscoreaceae. The transcript has 3 exons.
UUCACAACCCUUUCCAUCAAUCAUGGCUUCUGCAACUUUGUCGGCCCUUGCAGGAUCUCUUCUAUCACCUUUGCGUGACAUCAGUUUGGAGAAACUGAUCAAUUACUUAUGGGAUUAUCUAUCAUCAACACCUUCACCAUCCUCCUCUGAUGAGGCAGAGAAACAGCAACGACUGACUGAUUCACUGGAAGCCUUGGAAGAUGCCAAGUUGACUGUCAGGUUGAUGCAGAGUAGAAUCAUGAAAUUGUUUCAAAAACAUAAGCAAAACGAGAGGGUUGUUGGUUUGCACAACAAGCUCAAAGAUGUUGAUUACGACAUACAAGACUUGGAAUCAGAGAUGAACUACAUAGAGCUGGAGAGAAAGCUGCAGGAGAUCAACAAGGCUGAAGAAGAAGAAGAAGAAGAAGCUGACAGUACUAGUAGCCAAUUCAGUAGAAAGCGCUCGUUUCCAUUUCGUCUGCCAACUGCUUUCUUAUCUAAGAAAAAAUGUCGCCUUCCGAAAUCAUCGCAAUCCUCGAGUCUGUCAACAGAUGAAGACAUUGUGAGACAGGUUACUAGUAUUAUAAAACAAAUAAAUAGCAUUGAAUCCAAGUUGAAAGAUGAAAUCAAGUUGGAACAAUGGUUUGACCAGAUCACCUUCAAUGGAGUUUAUGAUCCAAGGGAACAUCAUCACUUCAGCAAAAACAAACGUGUCACAACAUCAUCAACAAAUGAAAAGAAAAUUUAUGGUCGAGAUGAUGAAAUACAACGGUUGAUUGAGUUUCUCAAAGGGCCAAAUGUCAAUGGUAACAUUUCUGUUGCACCAAUAGUUGGGAUGGGUGGUAUCGGAAAAACUACUUUGGCUCAGUUUAUCUACAACAACAGAGAAAUAGAAAAUUAUUUCGACAAGAAAGCGUGGAUACAUGUAUCACAUCACUUUGAUAAAUUCAAAAUUACCAAAGAAAUGGUAGAUAUUAUUAGUGUUCAAUGUGGCAACACCACUAACUUGGAUCUUCUUGAGAGAGAGCUCGAAAGGCAUUUAACAGAGAAGAAAUUCUUACUGGUGCUAGAUGAUGUUUGGUCUGAUGAAUGGCAAGAAUUCCUUAUCCCUCUCCAAUCCGCACAAGCACAGUCUGUUAAAAUCAUUAUGACCUGUAGAGAUCCCAAGGUAACAAGGAGCAUGGAUGAAGACAAUAAAAUUAUUUUGGAAGGUUUGCAUACUCAUGAGUACUGGUCAUUUUUUAUGAGUUGUGCCUUUUCGGGAAAAAAUCCUGAUAAUUAUGAGCAAGCAUUACAUGAUAUAGGAAAGUGUAUAAUCAGAAAAUUGAAAGGAUCACCAUUAGCAGCAAAGACAGUGGGAAAACUUUUAGGACAAAGUCUAACUGAGAAGCAUUGGAAAGAUGUCUUGGAGAGUGAUUUAUGGAAAUUGGAAGCUAAUGCACAUGAUAUUAUGCCUGCACUUGCAUUGAGUUACUAUCAUCUACCUCAACAUCUUCAGCUAUGUUUUGCCUUUUGUUCGGUGUUUCCUAAAAAUCAUUUAUAUUAUAUGGAUGACUUGAUUUGCAUGUGGAUAGCCAAUGGGUAUAUAAAUGAAAAUGAAAGUAGUUCAAAGACAAUGAAUGAUAUAGGAGAAGAGUAUUGUCAUGAACUACAAGCAAUGUCUUUCUUUGAUGCAGAUUCUUCUACAUGGUUCAGAAUGCAUGACUUAAUGCAUGAUUUGGCUCAAUUAGUUUCUCAUGGGGAUAUUUGUAUUUAUAAGAGUGGAAAAGAUAAAAAGAUCUCAAAAAAUGUCCGUCAUUUAUAUGCACAAGGUUUGGAUGAUCUUGGGCUAGUAUGCAUAACUAAUAACUUACGCACACUUGUGCUAGAGAGCCAUUAUGACAUGUCUGCCUUCCUCAACUAUGAAGCAUUCAAAAAAAUCAGAGUGCUAGUCAUCCUUGAUGCUAAUAUGGAAGAAUUCCCAGAUGCUAUUUGUCAUCUGAAACUCUUGCAAUAUUUGGAUUUGAAGAAGACUAACAUCAAAUCAAUACCGGAGUCACUAUGUCAGCUUUAUCAGUUAAGGGUGUUGAAAUUGCCGCCUUCACAUACCCUGCCACAUAUAUUUUGUAACCCUAUAAACCUAGGUUGGGGCAUGUCCGGUCACAAGCUUACAUAUAAUAAUGAAGGGGGGCCAGCAUAUCAUGUGAAAAGAGAAAGAUUCUACGUGAUUGCACAAUUGAGAAAUAUGAAUGAAGUAAGAGAACCACUUUCUAUUAUAGGUUUAGAGAACAUCGACAAUAUGGAAGAAGUGAUGGGAGUCAAAUUAAAGGAAAAACACCAUAUCAAGAACUUGCGUUUAUAUUUUAAUGAUACAGUGGAUCACUGCAAGCAUGAUGUCCAAGAAGAAGUUCUUGAAGGCCUUCAACCUCAUCCUAAUUUAGAAAAACUACGGAUUUACGGGUACCUGGGUUCCAAAUCGCCAAGCUGGCUUAUGACGCUUGCAUUACAGAAACUACGAAAAUUAUACUUAAUUAAGUGUAGAAAUUGGGUAUAUUUGCCUGCAGCACUUGGGUUGUUGCCCUCCCUGGAGGAACUAUGCUUAUGUGACCUCGAGAACAUAACAGUUGAAUGUGAUGAUUCUGUGGCUGAGAUGUUUCCAUCCCUACGUUUGCUUGAAUUCUACAAAGCAACAAUAUCAUUUAAGGGCAUGUCAACCUCAUCAUCAUCAUCAUCAUCAUCAUCAUCAUCUCUAACAACACCAGUACAUUGCAAGUUGUUUCCUCGUCUUCAGUUCCUCACUGUGGCAGAAUGUGAUGUAGUGAAUGGAUUACAAUGGGCCUUAUAUUCAGCACUAGAGCGGCUAUGUAUAAGAGAUAGUCUUGGUCUGGAUAACCAAUUGCCUGAAUGCCUCUCUGGCCUCUCUUCUCUUACUUUAUUGAAAAUAAGUGGGGCAAAGAUUGAAACCUUUCCUAACGAGGUGAUGGCCACAAUGCAUGCACUCAAGGGUUUAUGUCUUAAAGAUUGUAAUGAGCUUUUAUCAGUGGAGGGUUUACAAGCCCUCCCGUUCUUGAGAAUAUUGUUUAUUUCUUCUUGCCCAAAAUUCAAAUCAUGGUGUAUGGAGGAGAUGAUAGAGCUGGUCGAAUUAAAUAUAGAUGCUUGCCAAGAUUUAGAAUCUCUGCCUGCUUGGUUGCAUCGUCUUCCUUUACUGAAGGACUUGACUAUUAAGAGUUGCCCAAAGCUCCUCUCAAUGCCGGAGGGAGGCCUCCCUUCCUCGCUUGAAAAAUUGAGCAUCAUAGAUUGUGACCCAGGCUUAAUGCAACGGUACCAACAAGAGAGGUCUCCAGAAUGGCUUAUGAUUCAGCACAUCCCUCAAAUGAAUUUCAAUUUCUGAAAAUAUAUGAACGGUAUGAAUGUAUGGAUCCAUGACUUUAAUUGCUUGUUACUUUGUUUCCUCAUUUGAAUUAUUUAUAUAUAAUAUUAUCUUCAAUUUCACUCAUCUAAUCCAAAGUUAUGUUAGGAAAACAAUCAAGCUGUUUGGUAUCAACAUUUGCUCAAUCUUUUCCACUCUGGAAUCUAUUAAGAUCAAUUGUGACCGGCAUUAGAGGAUGUGAAGAAAUCACUCACAAAGUUCUCCGUGACAGUGAUUCUACUUCAUUUUGAGAAUAAUAUUAUUCUCUCGAGCAAGGACAAGCAGAAUUCAAGUUUUCCCAAACAAGUGUUGAAUACUUGGCUUUCAUUAAUAUGAUGCUCAUAUUUGAAUUAAUAGCAUUAAUUAUCUGACACUCAUGAGAGACUGAGGACAAAUGCUCACCAAUACUAGGCUGCAACAUCCAACAUUUCAUAACACAGAUUUGAUAAGAAAUGUGGACGAAUAUUUUUGUGAUUUUUGAGUUAUUAAUGUUGAUUUGCCCAAUCUCGGGGUUAAUUAUGUUGCUAGGCAAACUAGAGUGAUCACUUUAUAAUGUACUUUGAUUUUAUCAAACAAGUGGUAGUUGUUUGUGUUGAGUG